AGUGAACGCUGGCGGUAGGCCUAACACAUGCCAGUCGAACGGCAGCACAGUAAGAGCUUGCUCUUACUGGUGGCGAGUGGCGGACGGGUGAGGAAUACAUCGGAAUCUACUUUUUCGUGGGGGAUAACGUAGGGAAACUUACGCUAAUACCGCAUACGACCUACGGGUGAAAGCAGGGGAUCUUCGGACCUUUGGCGAUGGAAUGAGCCGAUGCCGGAUUAGAUAAGUGGGUAGGUAAAGGCCCACCAAGGCGACGAUCCGUAGCUGGUCUGAGAGGAUGAUCGGCCACACUGGAACUGAGACACGGUCCAGACUCCGACGGGAGGCAGCAGUGGGGAAUAUUGGGCAAUGGGCGAAAGCCUGAUCGAGCCAUACCGCGUGGGUGAAGAAGGCCUUCGGGUUGUAAAGCCCUGUUGUUGGGAAAGAAAAGCAGCAGGUUAAUACCCCGCUGUUCUGACGGUACCCAAAGAAUAAGCACCGGCUAACUUCGUG
This 492-nucleotide ribosomal RNA is filed under the name uncultured bacterium. RNAcentral's name for it is "partial 16S ribosomal RNA". It matches the Rfam family "Bacterial small subunit ribosomal RNA", at positions 29 to 507 of the family's 1533-position model. The record is from RNAcentral.